UAAUAUCUAUCCAUCUCCGGGAAAAAAAAAACUCCGUGGCUUAUGGUCGUCUCCGAUAACCACUCUCUGGGAGAUAAAUCAAAUUGGCUCACUCUCUUUGUGUAAUUUGUUCUUUCUGUAAGCAGAGAGAAGCUCAGAUUCUCUUUGUGUAUUUGCUUUCCUUUUUUAAUUAUUGAUUCCAUGUUUCUCUUUCCCAAUCGUUAGCUGCUUGUGGUGGAUCCGUAUUGCUGAUUUGCAAAGGGAAGCAGAGCUGGUGUGAUGAAUGUUAAUGAGGAGGGUGAGGGUUCGCGUUACCCAGUCACUGAUCAGAAGCCCGUUGAGACGAAAGAGAGGCUUAGUGGAGAAGAUAAAGCUAAUGGAAUCGUUAUGGAUGUGAGAAACGGGAGUGCAGUGGGCUCAGGUGGACUGCAAAUUCCAAUUUCGCAGCAAACACCGGCCACUGUUUGUUGGGAAAGGUUUCUUCAUGUGAGAACCAUAAGAGUGUUGCUGGUGGAGAAUGAUGACUGUACUCGUUAUAUCGUUACCGCGCUUCUUCGUAAUUGUAGCUAUGAAGUUGUUGAGGUAGCUAAUGGUGUACAAGCUUGGAAGGUGUUGGAAGAUCUAAACAAUCAUAUUGAUAUUGUGUUGACGGAGGUAGUCAUGCCUUACUUAUCUGGUAUUGGCCUCUUAUGCAAGAUUCUGAAUCACAAAUCCCGUCGGAACAUCCCUGUCAUUAUGAUGUCAUCUCAUGACUCAAUGGGGCUGGUCUUUAAGUGCUUAUCAAAAGGAGCAGUUGACUUUCUCGUUAAGCCCAUAAGAAAAAACGAGCUUAAAAUCCUUUGGCAACAUGUUUGGAGAAGAUGUCAGAGUUCUAGCGGCAGUGGAAGUGAAAGCGGAACUCAUCAAACUCAAAAGUCUGUGAAAUCAAAGAAUGUUAUAAAAUCUGACAACGAUUCAGGACGCAGUGGUGAGAAUGAAAAUGAGAGCGAUGGCCUGAAUGCUAGUGAUGGAAGUAGUGAUGGCAGUGGUGCUCAGAGCUCUUGGACGAAAAAAGCUGUGGAGGUUGAUGAUGACAGUCCACGAGCGGUAUCUCCAUGGGAUCGAGUUGAUAGCACUUGCGCACAAGUGGUACAUUCCAACCCCGAGGUUCCCGGUAAUCACUUGAUCGCAGCACCUGCUGAGAAGGAGACUCAAGAGCAAGAUGAAAAAUUUGAAGAUAUCACAAUGGGUAGAGACUUGGAGAUUAGUAUUCAUGGAAAUUGUGAUCUGACACUGGAGCCAAAAGAUGAACCCUUAACCAAAAGCACUGGCGUUGGAAAAGGACCUUUGGACCUCAAUAGUGAAAGCCGUUCAAGUAAACAAAUGCAUGAAGAUGGAGGCUCAGGCUUCAAAGCUAUUUCUAGCCACCUUCAAGAUAACAGAGAGCAUGAGGCGCCUAACACACACUGUAAAACUGUAGACACCAAUGAAGCUGCCAUUAAAAACCCCGAAGAGCCAAUGCACGUUGAACAUAGUUCAAAGAGGCAUAGAGGAGCUAAAGAUGAUGAGACGAUAGUUAGAGAUGACCGCAAUGUGCUGAGGCGUUCAGAGGGUUCAGCUUUCUCAAGGUAUAAUCCAGCCUUAAACAACAGUAAGCUUUCUGGCGGGAACUUGGGAAGCAAUUCUCGUCAUGAUAAUAAUUGCCAAGAUCUUAACAAAAGGACUGAAGCGGCAUGUGAUUGUCACUCAAACAUGAACGAGAGUCUCCCUAGCAAUCAUCACUCCCGCGUCGGUAGCAAUAACGUGGAAAUGAGUUCCACAACUGUGAACAACGCUUUCACAAAGCCGGGAGCUCCGAAAGUAAGCCCGGCAGGAUCUUCAUCAGCAAAGCGUUCAUUGUUUCAGCCUCUACCGUGUGAUCAUCAUCACUCCUCUCAUAAUCUUGUUCACGUUCCUGAGCGGAAGUUACCACCACAAUAUGGAUCGUCAAAUGUAUACAAUGAGACGGUUGAAGGUAACAACAACAACACUGUGAAUUACAGUGUGAAUGGAAGCGGGUCUGGUAGUGGUCAUGGAAGCAAUGACCCAUAUGGAAGCAGUAAUGGCAUGAAUGCUGGAGGAUUGAACAUGGGAAGUGAAAAUGGUGCUGGCAAAAGCGGGAGUGGUGAUGGUAGUGGAAGUGGAAGUGGAAGUGGGAAUGUGGCAGAUGAGAAUAAGAUCUCUCAAAGAGAAGCUGCUUUGACAAAGUUCCGUCAGAAGAGAAAGGAGAGGUGCUUCAGAAAGAAGGUGCGAUACCAAAGCCGGAAAAAACUAGCGGAACAACGACCUCGUGUCCGUGGCCAGUUCGUCCGAAAAACAGCUGCUGCAACGGAUGAUAACGACAUAAAAACGCCGAGGGAUAGCUAACGGGGAAAACUGCUAAAACAACACUUGUCAGCAGGAAGAAAGAAAAAACUUGUAAGGUUCUCAUCAUCCAUGUUGGGAUCUAUCUAUCAGUCUAUAUAUCACUUCUUUUUAACAAUUUUUCUUUACCCUCAAAAGUGUGAUUCUUUGAUACUACUACACUAGUAUUCCACGAACACACACGACAGACAAAUUGAUUGUUUGUUAUUUUGUCGUCGUAUAGUGUGGUUUGUGGAUUCAGGACAGGAUUUGGUUCAUGAGUUGGAGAGUGUGGUUGUAGAUGUUGUAAACUUCUGUAAAACAAUAACCCACUGUUUGUUUGUAUAAGCUAUAUUGGUUUUGGAGCAUAUAUAUUGUAGUUUACUGAUA
Brassica napus (rape) is the source of this 2730-nucleotide RNA transcript. It is a transcript of the gene named two-component response regulator-like APRR7, with no coding region annotated. The transcript is spliced from 10 exons. The record is from RefSeq and is a predicted model, not a curated record. NCBI's taxonomy places the organism in Eukaryota, Viridiplantae, Streptophyta, Magnoliopsida, Brassicales, Brassicaceae.